RNAcentral lists this non-coding RNA (29 nucleotides) under Cricetulus griseus (Chinese hamster). Lineage: Eukaryota; Metazoa; Chordata; Mammalia; Rodentia; Cricetidae. The record is from RNAcentral.
GGUUUAUUUGUCUGUUGUGUGAUACAUUC